Long non-coding RNA from Daphnia pulex (common water flea), 3226 nucleotides. RefSeq lists it as uncharacterized. The record is from RefSeq and is a predicted model, not a curated record. The transcript is spliced from 4 exons. NCBI's taxonomy places the organism in Eukaryota, Metazoa, Arthropoda, Branchiopoda, Diplostraca, Daphniidae.
AGAGUUCUGGCUGAUAUUUCCGGUUGAAUUAAAAAUUGGCUAAAAUAAGGAUGGAAGAACGGAUGGCUAACUUCUUGUCGGUGCUCCAUCAUGGGUGAAUUUAUUUGGUCCAUGCACAGCACGAACCCGGCGGUCCUCGAUGACGAUUGGAUUGAAAAAAUAGACGAAAUCAUCCAAUUUUAUUGAUUGGUCGGCUUGCUCUUGGAUCGAAAUUAUGGACAUGGCUGAGUUAUUUAGAGCACAAAAUGAUGCAUAUAAGGUAGAUAUAAAAAGAUCCCGAGAGCCCAUCCAUUAGUCUCCGAAGGUAGUAUUUUUCUUCCGAACACAGUUCUUCUUUUAGCCCUUAAUUUGGAUUUCUAUUAUUGAAGAACCAUGUUUCGUUGGUUUGUAAUUGGAAACCAGUUCCUGAAAACUGAUAAGUUACCAUUUACAUGACCGCAAAUGCAUUUGCUUCGUUUUUCAAAUGAUGGCAGAAUUGACAUGAGCCAAAAAUACGCCACGUGUGGUUGAUUAUUUGAUGAACCACUCACGUCCCGCUUGCCAACCCCGGAAAAUGCCCCACAAUGCCGCCUUCCAUUUUUAGCAUCUGAUUUGAAUAAAAGUCUUAUAUAACGUUCUAACCUUGACGAAUACGUAACAUGCUCGGACGAGAACGUUCUGCUGUUGCGGUAAUUCGAUGCAUAAAACAUCAGCUUAUUUUUGAAUUACUUUUUUAGAUCAAAUUUUGAAAUUUAAGCGAAUGAAUCCAGCGCUAAAGUUUGAUGAAUGAAACCAAAUUUGUUUCCAAUAUUGACACUUUUCAUUGGCACUCCUUCUGUCCUGUAUUUUCUAUGCAUUCCUUUUUUCCGUUAUUCUGACUUAUAACCAUAAUCUUGUUAUUAGUUUCUUGUUAUCAACUAAUCGUAAAACUAGCGCCUGUAGACUGGCCGCAGCUCUAUUCAACUCAUCUGUGCGUUGCCUGCGCACUCCUCUGGCUCAAGGCUAUAUGGAUUUAUGGAACCAGAUCCCAUCUUCAAUUGGGCGUUACAGUUUACCUCAAAAGAAAGUGACUCAUCAGUGGACCUUGAUUUACAUUGAACGAGAGGCACUUGGUUAUGCUCAGGUAAAAAAGAUUUACUCAAAUUCAGUUUUGCAUUCAUUAUAUUCGUGUAUUUUUCAACGUUGAAACAGGGAUUAUUAAGUUAAGUGGUAGGUAAUUCAGAUACGUUUUAAUCAUAAGAUUGGCACUGAAACAAACUCAUAAUUUAAAGAUAAUAUCAGUCCCAGCACCGACACAACUACUUAUACUACUAAAAUACCACUCCACCUCUAGUAUUAAGCAAAAACCUAACCCAGUGUCAACGCUACAAUUCGUCUUCAAGCUAACAAAAUCUAUUGAUAUCUUAAACAAUUCCCGUGCUAACUACUUAGUGGCUACCAGGUGAGGAAGAUGGAGACGACGGAGUCGAGUUUCAUCGUCAUCACAGGCAGGUGUACUACCUGAAUUUCCUGGACAUCCUUUGUCUCCUUAUAGUCUCCUUUGUCUCCUUAUAGUCUCCUUUGUCUCCUUAUAGUCUCCUUUGUCUCCUUGGCUUUUAGAUUAAUUAUUUAGAGAAAAAGACACAGACUAACGAACUAAUGCCACACAUAAAUAUGCUUACCGCUUCUUGCAAACAGCGAGACUAAAUCAGACAGGUUCGGAUUCGAUUGGCCAAAUCCGCGCCAUUUUUUAAAAUCCGUUUCCGGAACGUUACUACCUGCAAAGACAAAGUAAGAAUUGCAAUUUUUCAACAUUACUUUUAGCGUAUACUGUGCUGUUUUGUGUUUAAUUUAUCUGAUAUAAUUUUACAUACCACGAUGGUGAGUUCUGGCUGAUAUUUUCGGUUGAAUUAAAAAGUGACUAAAAUAAGGAUCGAAGCUAACUCCAUGCCGACGAUGCUCGAUUGCGGUUGAAUUUCUUUGACCCAUGCACAGCACGAACCCGGUAAGACAUACGUAAACUAGAGUGACCAAAGAGAACAUUCUGUUUGUGUUUUUGAGUGCACUGUUCUUCAACAUUGGAUAGCACAACAAUUUAUAUACUCUUUUUCCCCGCACAGGCGUGCCUCGACGACGAUCGGAUGGAAAGAAUCAUCCAACUUAUCGAUUGGUCGGCUUGCUCUUGGAUCGAAAUUAUGGUCUUUGCCGAGUUAAUUUUAGAGCACAACAUGGUUCACCCAAGAUUUCUAUUAUUGGAGAACCAUGUUUCGUUAGAUUUUAAUUGGAAACCAGUUUCUGAAAAUCGAUAAGUUACCAGACGAAGCGCAUUUGCCGAGUUUUUAAUAAAAUGGUGGUAUUGACAUUACGCCAAAAAUACGCCACGUGCGGUUCAUUAUUUGAUGAACCACUCAGGUGCCGCUUGCCAACCCCGGAAAAUGCCCCGAAAGCCACCUUCCAUUUAUAGCACACCUGAUUUGAAUAAAAUUCUUCAUUCGAAUCUUGACGACUGCGUAACAUGUUCGGACAAGAACGUUCUGCUGUUGCGGUAAAACCGACGCAUGAAACAUUUUCAGAACUAUAUAGCCUGUACGAAAGUAGACUGGCGGCGGUUUUAUUCAAAUCUUCCGUGCGUUGCAUGCGCACUCCUUUAGGCAACCAGAUCCCAUCUUCAAUUGGGCGUUACAGUUUACCUCAAAAGAAAGUGACUCAUCAGUGGACCUUGAUUUACAUUGAACGAGAGGCACUUGGUUAUGCUCAGGUAAAAAAGAUUUACUCAAAUUCAGUUUUGCAUUCAUUAUAUUCGUGUAUUUUUCAACGUUGAAACAGGGAUUAUUAAGUUAAGUGGUAGGUAAUUCAGAUACGUUUUAAUCAUAAGAUUGGCACUAAAACAAACUAACUCAUAUAAUUUAAAGAUAAAUAUCAAUCCCAGCACCGACACAACUACUUUUCCAUCAAGAAUUGUGAACAGCAUCUACCCCAUUUCCUUUCGCUAUUAAGUUUUUUAAAAUUGUUCUACUAUAACGACCAGGAGGACCCAGAACUCCAGCAGGUCCAGCUUCUAUAAAUCAUCCUGAUGUUGUUGGACAUAGGCCUAUAAAAAUUAGUAAAAUUGGUCAGACUGAUAACAAUUAUGACAAACGGAGCUCUUGUGAGCCACCGAUAGACAUACCGAAUGAAGCUAAGAUGGUGUCCAAGCCCAGGAGGCUUAUAAGCGAAACUUGUCUGGCAAUAGCUUCAGAUUUUCCUUUCAGAUCAUUAUUGUCCUUGG